GUGGCCGUCGCAUUGUAUGGCCUACUGUACCGACAUCGACCAUGUCUGUCUCAACCGGGAACUCCUAUGCAGGUGCUGUUGUCAAAUAAGCCAGUGUAUCGUAAGCAGCAGUGACAAAAAUGGGUGCUCAAUGAAAGGUGAACCAUUCAGUGUUCUCAACGAUUUUACUUGCCACAGAUUUCCACAGGUGUCCAGCAGUGGCAACAGUUACGAAAACAGACACAUGGCACAUUCAAACGACACAUUCCUUUUAUGCGCCAGACAACACAACAAAACAGUGUCUUUGACACGUGUGGGUCUUUGAGCCAAUAUUGCUGUCCUCAGUUGAAGAUCGCAGAAGACAAAAACUUCUAAUACUGACAAAGUCUAUACAACACCCCCUACUACUUGUCUUCUCCUGACGCAUCUUCGCUGUGUUGAGGAGAACCUUCCCGAUUAAAACACAUGCUCUGA
Long non-coding RNA from Ornithodoros turicata, 453 nucleotides. RefSeq lists it as uncharacterized. NCBI's taxonomy places the organism in Eukaryota, Metazoa, Arthropoda, Arachnida, Ixodida, Argasidae. The transcript is spliced from 2 exons. The record is from RefSeq and is a predicted model, not a curated record.